CAUAAUUACGUACUCCCUGAGCGUUUGUUGCACCCCAUCGUUACUUCUCAAGAACAAAGGUACAAUAAUGCAAUGAUAUCCCUUAUUCCAAAAAAAAAGUAUAUAUAUACUUAGUAUCAUCAAUAAAUGCUGUUAUGGUAGAUAGAGUUUAGGGUUUGAAGCAUUAUGCUAGCAUUGAUGAAGUUGUAAUCUUAUUGUAAGCAUGAUACAAUAAAUGCUAGCAUGAUACAUAAGUUGUAUCAUACUUGUGUAUUGUCGAUGCAAUAUUCUUUCACCUGAAUAUGAUUCAUUCAUUGGGAUUUUAGGUGAUUCAAGUUGCAAAAAUGAUCAUUUGCUUUAGUGAAUUUUUGGGUAGCCUUACUAGAAUAUUUCAAAAUGGUUGUUCGUGUGGGCAUGAUAAGUGACCAUUCGGUAAAAACAUUGCUUCCUUUAAUGCACUGUCCAAGUGAGAGAAUGAAUAAGACUCUUUGGCAGCCUUCUAGAAGAUGGUUAUUGAUCAUUCAUAUGCUCAAUUGAAUGCCACAAUCUACAAAUGAGCUAAAUGUGCUUCUUGAUGAAAUGGUUUAAUGAAUACCAUUUUGGUUGUUCUAUUAUAGAGAAGAUAUUAACACAUCUUAAUUGUUAAGUGAAGUUCAUGUACAUCAUUUAAGGCUGAAUUUAGCCAUCCAUCUACUAGGUGUUCUAUAUAUAUUUCAUUUUUAUCGUUGUUGUAAGGUUAGACUAUUUUUUUUAUCAAAAAUACAUUUUGAGUUUCAAUUCUUUUUUCUUUUUAGAACUUCCUGAACUUAUCAAGAAUUCCAUUCUUGUGGCAUUCACCAAACCCAAUCUUAUCACUUAAACCUAUUCCAAAGUGUGGCGAUCAUCAUAUACCUUUGGUUCCUAUCUCAAUAUAUAUAGUGGGUCAAGGUUUCAUCCAUUUCCAAACUUUGCGAGUUUAAGCAAUCUUAUAGAAUUUGGAUCGCGUUGUUUUAUAACAUCGAUUCUUUUCUAGUUCGUUUAAGUUCGUAAGUUAUAUCCUAAAUUUACCUUACUGUUUAUUUUUCUUCAUAAUUAACCAUAUUUCGAGUAAGUGCUUGUUUAGAUGAUCAAGACCAUUCAAACCACGAAUCAAAUUUCAAACUCAUAACCAGGUUCACGUCAACUUUAUUCGUUGUUUAAUCAAAUUUAUCUUCUGCACAAUUUGUCAAACUAAAUUUUUAACCCAGAAUAAAUGUUGUUAGUUUAGAAUAUAUAUCAGAAGUUGUAAGAUUUUGCUUUUUCAUUUUCGUGUCUUAGUUGUAGAAUUUGUCUUUAUCAUAAAAUUAGUUAAUAAGAAAUUAUUUCUUUUCUUAACCAAAGAAAAUUAUGUUCGGAUUGCUGGGAUUAAUCUUUUUAAUUUCACACACCUUAAGGAAACUGUUACAGAUAUUGUCACAAAAUUUAAAUUAAUAUGUUAACAUAUAUGUAAUCAUAUUUUUCAUAAAUUUAAAUUAAAUAAACGUCAGAAUAAAAAUAUGUAGUAAAGUAGUAGUGGCCACUAGUAAACCUCUAAAGUUUAAAGGCAGUACAUGCAUGUUUUUUAUAAGGAUUUUAAAUUAUCAAAUAUAUAUGGUUGAGGUUGAUUAAGUUUUACCAUUGAUGGUGAAGGAAAUAAGCACGGUACCAUUAACGGCGUUAAUGUCGACAUGUAGAAUUUCAAGCGAGAGGUGUUUAAGGCAGACAUUAUUUCGAUUAGCUGACGAGAAAACUAAGGAGACACCAUCAUUAAAAGAAAUUUUUUUCCUGAAAACUUCACUUUCACGUUGACUGUUGGAGACUUGGAGUUUGCAACGAGCUCGUUAGUAUCAUCCACGCCAUAGCCAUGAUGAUUUCAUGGUUUGAGUCCCUUGUUGAGUAAAUAAACUUGGCUUAAAACAGCCGUGAACUAUUUUGAUGCCCAAUUCUUUGAAAGCUUAUAUAUCUGAGACAGUCUUAAAACAGAUGCUGAAGUAGUUGGAGAUAUGCCCCUAAAAUGUUAGUAAAGAAAAUGUAACAUCUAUGUUCCACCCAUUUUAGUAAAGAAAAUUAGUUAAUAGGGAGUACUUGAUGAUAAGAUUGGAUGACUUUAUGCAUAAGUAAUCAUUGAUCCUAUCUAACCAUCCUUCUAAUUUACUUAUCCAGCAACAUUCUAUUGGUCUAGAUGCCUCAAAGAAUACAUAUCAUAGUGGCUUUGGCAGAGCACAAAUCUCUAGUUACUACAGUAACACAUUCUGAACCUAUUUAAACCUUUAUGAAGUCAUUCAUUAGAUAAUAUCAAUGAGAACAAGAGCAAAAAAUGGCUAAUGCUAUACUAAUACAAUGUCUGUUUGUUGACACGAGGGUUUCAUCUGUCUGUUGACAUAAUUUUUGUUUUUAGUCCUUUUGUUUUGAUUCUAGAGUGAUUUGUUUUGUUGUCUUCUUUGUGAUGAAAGAAGAUUUGGCUAAUCUGAAUUUGGUUGAUGAGGAAGAGGAUGCAUUCCAGGAGGAUACUGUGGCGGUUGAUUAGAACUAUCAUCUCAGUUUGGUAGGACGUUGUUUGACUGAUAGUGUUGUUCAUUUUUCCUUUUUACGAAAUACUUUGACAGAUCCUUGGCACCCUAUCAGGGGAAUCUGUAUUUCUGACUUGGGAGAGAAACGGUACCUUUUUCAAUUCUUUCAUGAGGUUGAAGUUCAAAGAGUAGUUGUAGGAACACCAUGGAUUUUUAACAAUCAUUUACUAUUGCUUCAUAGAAUUCAAUCGGGGAAAAAUCUGUUGCUGGUCUCGUUAAAUUUAUCAGAAUUCUGAGCCCAAAUUUAUGACCUUCCCCCGGGAUUAAUGACUGAAUCUAUGGCCAAACAAAUUGGGAAUUUUAUAAGGCAGUUUCUUAACUAUGACACGGCGUUUCAGUCAAUGGGUUUUCAAAUUUUUAUGCAUAUUCGGGUUCGAUUAGAUGUGUCAAUCCCAUUGAAAAAGAAGAAGAAGAUUCUAAUCGGCAAUGAUCGGGUUGUCUAUGCUAGAUUUCAGUAUGAAAAACUCAGUUUGUCUUGUUUCAUUUGUGGCAAGCUUGGGCAUGGUGAGAGUUUUUGCCCAUUUCGUACCACAAUCGAGCCAUCCAAAAUAGUUUUUGGUUGGGAUAUCUCCUUACGUGCAACGGUGCAUCAGGCGAAAUACAAUGGUUAGCAAGUGGCUUUGGGAAGUAGAUGGAUCAGAAUGCGGUAUGUUGAAUAAGGAAAGAGAAAAUCAAGACAACAUUUUAGGGGAAGGGAGGGAUUCUGGGCAUAAUCGUGGGAGUGAUUCGGCUAAAUCUUACAAAAUCCCAUUUUGACUCGUCUUGGAUAUGAUCAAAUGAUGUUAAUUAAAGGAAUUGAUAAAUGGCCAAAUAUGGAUGCUAGGGAGCAGUCUAGGGCCAAAUGUGGAAAUGGGCCUAUGGAUUUACAAGUGGAUAAAGAAAAUAACCCGCUUCAUUCUAUUGAAGGAAAGAAACACCAGCGUGUGCUGAGUGCUUCAGCUAAUCUUCCAAGCAUUGCCUCUGUUGGAGGGAAUCAUGAUAUAUCGACUAGCUUUGAAGGGCAGAGCAGUCGAAUGCAAUGAAGUUCCUUAGCUGGAAUGUUCGUGGUUGGGGGAGGUCACGGACGGUUAACAAACUCAAAAAUAGAUUAAGGGCCAUUAAUCCCCAAAUUUUGUUUCUUAUGGAAACAAAGUUGGAAACACAAAAAUUUACACACUUUUUCAUACCUUUUUUAACUUAAAUUCAUACGAAUUCGGUUAAAUUCUUGUCGAAAUUAAUUAAAUUUUAUAAAAUAAUUAAAGUGAACUUAAAAUAUGAACUUAUUGAAUUUUAGUUAAUUUUAUAAUUAAUUUUGGUUAUUUUCGACAGAAUUGCACAAAAGGCGAAAAAUGGCUCGGUAGACACUGCUAGAAGCACAAAACCGAGAGCCAAUUUGAAGUAUUGAGGCUAACUAAAUUUCAUCCUAAGACGGUCCAAAAUUAUAUGUAUUUAUUCAUAAUAUAAGUAAUUUUAAUUUAUAUCAAAUUUAAUCUGGGUUAAUAAAUUAUGAUUAAUUAAUUAUGAAAAAGUGGUCCGAUUGAACCGAACCGAGUGAACCGAACCAGCCAAGAAAAGGACAACCCAAAACCGUCCAAGUGCUGACCCAAUUCAGCUUAUUAGCUGAUUAUUUAAGCUGCAAAGAAGCCCUUUAAGACUUCUUCAAAUUGCAAUGCAACCCCUCCACAAUUGGUGGCUUUGAAGAUUUGCCCCAAGCCAUAUUUAGCAAAGUUGAAGCCAUCAACUUUGCCACGUAGGUGGCCAGCCAAGGGGUGGCUCUUUGGCUACUAUUUUUAGCAAAUUUUAGCUGCCACAUUCAGCUAUAAAAACCCCUUUGGCUGAUCAUUCAAAGCAUUUCUCAUUCAUUCACAUCUCUCCUCUCCUCUCUCACUUUCUCCUCUCAUUUUCCCAUUCCAAGUCCCUUACUCUCUUGUCGAUUUCUCCUAUUGAAAAAGGGGCAUUCAUCAGCCAUUUUGGAGCAACACCGAAGUGUUCAUAGCAGCCUUGAUCGGCUAGGACAACAAAGAACGAAGACGGAGGAAACUAGUCAAGCCACGGAGAAACAUCGGAUUUGAUUCUUGUUCCCUAUCUCUUUAAUUUUUGUUGUUGUUAUGAUGAACAUAUCUAUGAAUAUUUAUGUUGUUGGAAUGGUUAAUUUAAUCAGCUUAGCUUGAAUUUAAUUUGUGUUGGUUUGAUUGCAUUUCAUAUGCUUAAAUUAUUAAAAUUGUGUUUAUGCUGUUGUAGGCCUCGGUAAAAUGCUUGAUUAAGUAAAAUCAUGCUUAAGUUAUUCUUGCAUUACGAUUGUGUGGAAGCUAAUAAAUUAAUUAUUUAAACAGAUUGAAAUUGUAAUUAAUUGACACAAUACUUAGUUAGUGCAUGUUUAUUCUUCUAAGGUAGCUGAAGGUUAAAUUAACAAUGUAUCUGGCGAUACACUUGCCUUGUAUACUUGCAAGAUUAGUGAUUAAACUAUUUCAAGGUAAGAAUAACUUGUUACCUCACAUAGUCUUUUAUGUGCUUAUUAGAUUUAAUUAAUCGUUUGAAUUAAUAUAGGGAUAUGCAAGAGAUUAGUUCAAUUUAAUGAGUAUGUAUGUGCAAUAACAUGUUUGCUUAUUAAGAUCUAUUUAACCGUUUGAAUUAACAUAGGGAUAUGUUAAGAGAUGAAUGGAUUUGUGUAGGUGAGUAUGUUCAUAAGUUAGAAAAUUACCGAGUUGCCGUGAAUUUAUUCAUAACAAUAUAAACAUGAGUUUAAUAAUUCUAAGUUAAAGAAAUGUAAUUAAUCCAACACAAUUAUGUCGUCUUGAUUAAAUCGUAUUCUGAAAUCGUGUAUUUGAGAUUUAUUUCUUUAGUUUACUUAGUUUAAAAUCUUAGUUUUUAAUCACCCUCUUCAAACAAAAUAUUUUUAUUCACCAAAGUGUUUUAAAUAACAUUCAUAAAUAAUUCUUUUCACAGUCCCUGUAGGUACGAUAACUCGACAUUUACUUGUCACUUUAUUACUUAUUGCGAUUGUGUACACUUUCACAUUUUCAUCGUUCCAAAAUUUAAACGUGAAGAAAAUGGAAUUGGUUAGGUUGAAAUGCGGAUUUACAAAUGGUAUUGACAUUGGUGCAGUUGGUUCCAAAGGAGGAUUACCUCUGGGUUGGAAAAUUAAUUCUUUGGUCUCUCUCAAAAGCUACUCUCAUUACCAUGUGAAUGUUGGCAUUCAUGACAAUGAAAAUGGCGUAACUUGGAGACUUACUGGGCUUUAUGGAAACCCUGAUGAACGCUAUCGACGGAAGUCUUGGGAGCUACUUCGUCAUUUGGGUAUUGACCAAUCAGUCUCAUGGCUCGUGGUUAGGGAUUUUAAUGAGAUUACAAGCUCUUUUAAAAAGAAAGGGGGACGACUUAGAUCUGAACGACAAAUGGCUGAGUUUAGAAACGUUUUGGAGGAGUGUAGUCUUAAUGAUUUGGGAUUUAUUGGCAGGAGGUUCACGUGGGAGAGAGGAAGAUUUCUGUCCACUAAUAUUCAUGAGAGGCUUGACAGGGGAGUUGCUAGUCUGGAUUGGAUGAAUCUUUUUCGAAAAUAUUAGGUUUAGCAUCUGAGUCAUUCUAUAUCAAAUCAUUGCCUAGUCCUUAUGGAUGCAAUCGAAAAUCUGCAAUGUGGAGAGACCCAUGGGUCUAAGCUGUUCCAUUUUGAAGCCCAAUGGUGUUUGACCAAUCUUUUGAAGAGGCUAGUCGACAGGCUUGGGCUGAUCCAACUGUUAGUGUCCCGGGUAAGUUAACUAAGGCAGGUCAACAGUUUAAACUUUGGAGCUGUUCAAAGACUCAGACGCAAAAACAACAUCGAAUUUUUUUGGAGAAACGCCUGUUUGACCUCUAUGAUCAGGAUCCUACUGAUGAGAUUUUGGCAGAAAUUAUGGAGGUGCAAUUAGGUUUGAACUUGGAAGCUAACAAAAAGGAAGUUUUUUGGGAACAACGUGUAAGGGUGAAUUGGUUGCAAAAUGGUGAUAGAAACACGAGUUUCUUUCACAAAGUUACUGUUUCUCGUCAUAAUCGUAAUCGAAUUUUGGGUUUGGAAGAUGAGAAUGGUUUGUAGGUUCUCAAACUGGGGAGAUGAUGCAGGUUGCUUUGAAGCAUUUUGGUGAUCUCUAUACGGCUUCCGAAUCUGAUGGUGAUGACCAACUGCUUGGUCUCGUUGAGCAAAGGAUCACAAAGCGCAUGAAUUAUGAGUUGCUAAAACCUUUUACUGAGGAUGAAAUUUGGCAAGUGGUGAAGACGAUAGUGCCCCUUAAGGCCCCAGAAAUUGACGGGUUUCCAGUAAUGUUCUAUCAAAGGUAUUGGCAUCUUGUUGGGGCUGAAAUUUCUAGCUAUUGCUUGUCUGUUUUAAAAGGGGAGAUUGAUAUGGGCGAAAUCAAUAAAACCCACCUAGUGUUAAUUCCAAAAGUUGAGAAACCAAAAAAUCUCUUUCAAAUUCAUCCUAUAAGUUUAUAUAAUAUGAUUUAUAAGAUUAUUACAAAAGUUUUGGUGGAUCGGAUAAGUAUAGCGCUGGGUUACUGUAUUGAUAAAGCUCAAGGGGCUUUUAUACUAGGAAGACACAUAUCGGAUAAUGUUUUAAUCGCUUAUGAGGUCUUACAUUCCUUUAAAAUAAAGAAACGGAGUAAAUAAGGGAAUUUUGCACUUAAACUCUAUAUGAGUAAAGCGUACGAUCGAGUUGAAAGAGACUUUAUGGCUGGUAUGAUGUCUAAGUUGGGUUUCCAACCUGAUUGGAUCGUUCUUAUCAUGCGGUGCGUUUGUUCAAUUACCUAUACUAUGGGCAUUAAUGAGGGUAUUAGUGAAGGCUUUUCUCUGACACGGGGGUUGCGACAAGGUGACCCGCUCAGCCCUUAGCUUUUCUUAAUCUGCACUGAAGGUCUCUCUCUAUUGCUGAAUGAGGCAAAACAUAAAAAUCUGAUAAGGGGAGCUCCGAUUGGAAGGGAAAGAUUUGCGAUUAAGCACUUGUUGUUUGCUGAUGAUUGCAUUCUUUUUGGUGAUGCUUCGGAGGAUGGGGCUCAUAUAGUUCGUAAUAUAAUCAUGGAAUAUGAAUUAGUUUCAGGGCAACAAGUAAAUUUUGAUAAAUCACUUAUUUACUUUAGAGCAAGUGUGGGCCGACAUGAGAGGGAUCAAGUCACCAACAUUCUGGGAGUGCAGGUGGUCACAAACCCGGAGAAAUAUUUGGGCUUACCAAUGAUGGUUGGGAAAGGAAGAGAUGGGCUUUUGUAAAUUUUGUGGACAGAUUCAGAAAUAGGAUUGAGAGUUGGAGUCUCCGGUACCUUUCGAUGGGGAGUAAGGAAGUAUUCAUCAAGGCGGUGUUACAAGCAAUUCCUGUCUACGUUAUGCAAUGCUUUGCUUUACUAAAAACCUUAUGUCAAAAGUUAGAAGGUAUUUUAAACAAAUUCUAGUGGUCUAAUAGUAAAUCAACUAAAGGUAUUCGUUGGAGUACUUGGAGUGAACUAUGUACUUCCAAAGCUGAAGACGGGCUAGGAUUUCGGGACCUCUUUUUGUUUAAUAAAGCUCUACUUGCUAAGCAAGUUCAGCGACUUUUAUCCCAACCCGAUUGUCUUUCGGCAAAAUUUUUUAAGCUCGUUAUUAUCCUUUUACUAAUAUUAUGUCAGCUAAAGUUGGUUCUCACCCCUCCUUUUCCUGGAGAAGCAUAUGCAGUGCUAGGGAGUUGAUUGCGGAUGGCUUACUUUGGCGAAUUGGCAGUGGUGAGACUGUGAAUAUCUGGAAUGAUCCUUGGCUGCCUGGUCCUGGUAAUAGUGGAUUAUUAAUUCAGAAUAUUAGUACUCAUUGGUCUACAGUGAACCAUUUAAUUGAUGAAAAUUCGGGUACCUAGAACAAAGACGUGAUCUGCAGGAUUGUUGACCAAUAACAAGCUAGACGCAUUUUCAAUAUUCCCCUUGCAAAGUUCAGAGCUCAGGAUAUGUUGGUUUGGCAUCAUGAUGCCACCGGGGAGUACUCUGUGAAGAGUAGGUAUUGGGCUUUGGUUACAAGAAAAUUUCAGCUGUCUGAAUACAACUCGAAUACUACAAACAAUUACAAAAAGUUCUACAAGUUACUUUGGGAUAUACUUCCUUCUAAAAUUAAAAUACACAUGUGGCGGUUAAUUAAAGAUUAUGUGCCUCAUUUUAAUAACUUAAUCAAGCGAAGUCUAAGAGUUGUCAAUGUUUGCCCUCUGCGCAAGGAGGCUCCGGAGGAUCCUGACCACUUAUUGUGGUUUUGUGGUGCAUUACGGCAGCUUCGGCAGUCUCUAAAUCUCUCGAUUGAUCUCAGCAGGAAUACCUCACAUUACAAAAAUCGAUUAGUAAGCAUUUUUAUUGCAACUGAUGAGGGUACCAAAAAAUUGUUAAUCAUUUCUUUUUGGGUCCUUUGGUUUAAACGAAAUAAGAUGGUAUGAAGGUCUCAAUUUCUCUAUGCAGGAUCUGUUAGGUUUUGUUCAGUGCAUAAGAGUUGAGUUUGAGUAAAGUUUCUGUUUUUUCUCUUAGAUCUUAAGUGACUGAGUUCUAGUGACCCCCUAAUACUAGGUUUAUCAAAUUAAAUUUUGAUGCCUCUUUUAAUGGUGAAUCUAAUACCUUUAUUGCGACUAUUAUAGCCCAUAAUGAUGUGGGUCAAAUAAUGGGUGCAUGUACUUACCCUUAUGUAGGCGUUGCAGAUGCUUUUGUUGCAGAAGCUAAGGCUUGUGAACGAGCGCUCCUCUUCGAGAUUGAUAUGGGUUUCAGGAUGGUUAUUUUGAAAGGGGAUUCCUUAACGAUUAUCAAAAAACUUAAAUCUAAAAGGGAGGAUAGAUCCAUUCUCAGACCAAUUUCUCAGAGUAUUCAGAUGCUAGAGGAUUAUUUAGAGGAAGUGGCUUACCAUUUUGUCCCAAGAGAUGUUAAUAGGGUGGCGCAUACUAUGGCUUUGGAGGGGCGUAGAAGACUAUCUCCAUGUUUUUAGGUUGAAGAGGCACCAGAUUCUGUCGAAGAAUUGGUAGCAGAGGACUGGUCUGUUUGGCUUCGUCAAUGUUGAGGGGGUUUUGUUGAGCUUUGAAGUUUGGAGAAGGUUCCUUGAAUCUCCAAUAAUUGGUUUUUCAAAGCUGGUUCCUUUCCCGUUUUAGCUACGAUGGUUUUUCUAUUGUUCAACGAGAAGGUUUUGGUUGGUAUUCUUUGUUGGAUGUUCUUUUGGGGAUUGUUUUGUGGUUUUCGUUUAUGGUUUUUGGUUCUCUGUGUGCUUUCGUUUUCCUAUUUUGUUAGGUAGUUUCUGUUUUGUUGUCUUUUCAUUUUCUUUGGGGCGUUGUUUGGUCAGUUAUUUUUUGAGCUAAUCCCCUUAUUAAUGAAUUCUAAUUUUCAAAGAAAAAAAAUGGCUAAUGCUAUGGAAAAUCAUACCUAGUAUGUUAUGUGCAGUAGCUUUUAUUAAAAACUAAAAAGAUGUUGAGAAAUCAGAGCCGUUGAUUUUUUUCAUUGGUUCGUGUUUGUGUUACAUUUUUUAGCUC
This 10002-nucleotide long non-coding RNA is filed under the name Gossypium barbadense (sea-island cotton). Its description in RNAcentral is "long non-coding RNA (GBAR_LNC007191)". The record is from RNAcentral. Lineage: Eukaryota; Viridiplantae; Streptophyta; Magnoliopsida; Malvales; Malvaceae.